Molecule: ribosomal RNA, 1197 nt
Filed under: Escherichia coli
Lineage: Bacteria; Pseudomonadati; Pseudomonadota; Gammaproteobacteria; Enterobacterales; Enterobacteriaceae
Description: partial 23S ribosomal RNA
Rfam family: Bacterial large subunit ribosomal RNA
Source: RNAcentral
GGGUUGUGAGGUUAAGCGACUAAGCGUACACGGUGGAUGCCCUGGCAGUCAGAGGCGAUGAAGGACGUGCUAAUCUGCGAUAAGCGUCGGUAAGGUGAUAUGAACCGUUAUAACCGGCGAUUUCCGAAUGGGGAAACCCAGUGUGAUUCGUCACACUAUCAUUAACUGAAUCCAUAGGUUAAUGAGGCGAACCGGGGGAACUGAAACAUCUAAGUACCCCGAGGAAAAGAAAUCAACCGAGAUUCCCCCAGUAGCGGCGAGCGAACGGGGAGCAGCCCAGAGCCUGAAUCAGUGUGUGUGUUAGUGGAAGCGUCUGGAAAGGCGCGCGAUACAGGGUGACAGCCCCGUACACAAAAAUGCACAUGCUGUGAGCUCGAUGAGUAGGGCGGGACACGUGGUAUCCUGUCUGAAUAUGGGGGGACCAUCCUCCAAGGCUAAAUACUCCUGACUGACCGAUAGUGAACCAGUACCGUGAGGGAAAGGCGAAAAGAACCCCGGCGAGGGGAGUGAAAAAGAACCUGAAACCGUGUACGUACAAGCAGUGGGAGCCUCUUUAUGGGGUGACUGCGUACCUUUUGUAUAAUGGGUCAGCGACUUAUAUUCUGUAGCAAGGUUAACCGAAUAGGGGAGCCGAAGGGAAACCGAGUCUUAACUGGGCGUUAAGUUGCAGGGUAUAGACCCGAAACCCGGUGAUCUAGCCAUGGGCAGGUUGAAGGUUGGGUAACACUAACUGGAGGACCGAACCGACUAAUGUUGAAAAAUUAGCGGAUGACUUGUGGCUGGGGGUGAAAGGCCAAUCAAACCGGGAGAUAGCUGGUUCUCCCCGAAAGCUAUUUAGGUAGCGCCUCGUGAAUUCAUCUCCGGGGGUAGAGCACUGUUUCGGCAAGGGGGUCAUCCCGACUUACCAACCCGAUGCAAACUGCGAAUACCGGAGAAUGUUAUCACGGGAGACACACGGCGGGUGCUAACGUCCGUCGUGAAGAGGGAAACAACCCAGACCGCCAGCUAAGGUCCCAAAGUCAUGGUUAAGUGGGAAACGAUGUGGGAAGGCCCAGACAGCCAGGAUGUUGGCUUAGAAGCAGCCAUCAUUUAAAGAAAGCGUAAUAGCUCACUGGUCGAGUCGGCCUGCGCGGAAGAUGUAACGGGGCUAAACCAUGCACCGAAGCUGCGGCAGCGACGCUUAUGCGUUGUUGGGUA